This 23-nucleotide microRNA is filed under the name Salmo salar (Atlantic salmon). RNAcentral's name for it is "ssa-miR-146b-5p". Its record names the gene ssa-miR-146b-5p. The record is from miRBase by way of RNAcentral. Lineage: Eukaryota; Metazoa; Chordata; Actinopteri; Salmoniformes; Salmonidae.
UGAGAACUGAAGUCCAUAGAUGG